UACGUAGGGUGCGAGCGUUGUCCGGAAUUAUUGGGCGUAAAGCGCUCGUAGGCGGUGUUUCACGUCGGCCGUGAAAACUCACAGCUCAACUGUGGGCGUGCGGGCGAUACGGGCAGACUGGAGUACUGCAGGGGAGACUGGAAUUCCUGGUGUAGCGGUGGAAUGCGCAGAUAUCAGGAGGAACACCGGUGGCGAAGGCGGGUCGCUGGGCAGUAACUGACGCUGAGGAGCGAAAGCGUGGGGAGCGAACAGG
Molecule: ribosomal RNA, 253 nt
Filed under: uncultured bacterium
Lineage: Bacteria
Description: partial 16S ribosomal RNA
Rfam family: Bacterial small subunit ribosomal RNA
Source: RNAcentral